This is a non-coding RNA of Capsicum annuum, 107 nucleotides long. Lineage: Eukaryota; Viridiplantae; Streptophyta; Magnoliopsida; Solanales; Solanaceae. The record is from Rfam.
UAUUGAUGGUGUGGACAGUCCUAUAGAAAAUCCUUGAAAUACUCCCAAGCAUGAUAUAAAUUCUCGUCUGGCUUCUAUUUGAAGAACACGAUCUCACUACGAAGUCU